GAUGAAGAACGUAGCGAAAUGCGAUAAGUAAUGUGAAUUGCAGAAUUCAGUGAAUCAUCGAAUCUUUGAACGCACAUUGCGCCCGCCAGUAUUCUGGCGGGCAUGCCUGUCUGAGCGUCAUUUCAACCCUCACGCCCCUAGGGCGUGGUGUUGGGGAUCGGCCAAAGCCCGCGAGGGACGGCCGGCCCCUAAAUCUAGUGGCGGACCCGUCGUGGCCUCCUCUGCGAAGUAGUGAUAUUCCGCAUCGGAGAGCGAUGAGCCCCUGCCGUUAAACCCCCAACUUUCCAAGGUUGACCUCAGAUCAGGUAGGAAUACCCGCUGAACUUAAGCAUAUCAAUAAGCGGAGGA
RNAcentral lists this unclassified non-coding RNA (348 nucleotides) under soil metagenome. Its description in RNAcentral is "partial contains 5.8S ribosomal RNA, internal transcribed spacer 2, and large subunit ribosomal RNA". The stretch from base 1 to 120 matches the Rfam family "5.8S ribosomal RNA", at positions 35 to 154 of the family's 154-position model. The record is from RNAcentral.